CAAUAGCGUAUAUUAAAGUUGUUGCAGUUAAAAGCUCGUAGUGUAAUUAGAGUGCCGGAGCGUCGGGUCCGACUUUAACUAGUUGUGCACUCAUUUCGCGUCCGGCCUUUCUCGCGGCGAACGUGCCUGGCAUUAAGUUGUCGGGUUCGGGAGCCGCGUCGUUUACUGUGAAAAAUUAGAGUGUUCAUAGCAGGCUUACGCCGUUGAAUACAUUAGCAUGGAAUAAUAAGAUAGGACUUUGGUGAUCUAUUUUGUUGGUUUGCACACCAAGGUAAUGAUUAAUAGGGGACAGUUGGGGGUAGUUCGUAUUCAAUUGUCAGAGGUGGAAAUUACUUGGAUUUAUUGGAAGGACGAACUACUGCGAAAGACAUUUACCUAAGGA
This 382-nucleotide ribosomal RNA is filed under the name uncultured eukaryote. Its description in RNAcentral is "bacterial SSU rRNA". It matches the Rfam family "Eukaryotic small subunit ribosomal RNA", at positions 592 to 966 of the family's 1831-position model. The record is from RNAcentral.